AUUGAACGCUGGCGGCAGGCCUAACACAUGCAAGUCGAACGGUAGCACAGAGAGCUUGCUCUCGGGUGACGAGUGGCGGACGGGUGAGUAAUGUCUGGGAAACUGCCCGAUGGAGGGGGAUAACUACUGGAAACGGUAGCUAAUACCGCAUAACGUCGCAAGACCAAAGUGGGGGACCUUCGGGCCUCACACCAUCGGAUGUGCCCAGAUGGGAUUAGCUAGUAGGUGGGGUAAUGGCUCACCUAGGCGACGAUCCCUAGGUGGUCUGAGAGGUUGACCAGCCACACUGGAACUGAGGCACGGUCCAGACUCCUACGGGAGGCAGCAGUGGGGAAUAUUGCACAAUGGGCGCAAGCCUGAUGCAGCCAUGCCGCGUGUAUGAAGAAGGCCUUCGGGUUGUAAAGUACCUUCAGCGGGGAGGAAGGCGGUGGAGUUAAUAACUUCACCGAUUGACGUUACCCGCAGAAGAAGCACCGGCUAACUCCGUGCCAGCAGCCGCGGUAA
RNAcentral lists this ribosomal RNA (504 nucleotides) under uncultured bacterium. RNAcentral's name for it is "partial 16S ribosomal RNA". It matches the Rfam family "Bacterial small subunit ribosomal RNA", at positions 30 to 523 of the family's 1533-position model. The record is from RNAcentral.